CUACGGGAGGCAGCAGUGGGGAAUAUUGGACAAUGGACCAAAAGUCUGAUCCAGCAAUUCUGUGUGUUUGAUGAAGGCCUUCGGGUUGUAAAGAACUUUAAGUAGGGAAGAAGAAAGUGACGGUACCUACAGAAUAAGCGACGGCUAAAUACGUGCCAGCAGCCGCGGUAAUACGUAUGUCGCAAGCGUUAUCCGGAAUUAUUGGGCAUAAAGCGCGUCUAGGCGGUUGACUAAGUCUGAUGUGAAAAUGCGGGGCUCAACUCCGUAUUGCGUUGGAAACUGGUAGACUAGAGUAUUGGAGAGGUAGGCGGAACUACAAGUGUAGAGGUGAAAUUCGUAGAUAUUUGUAGGAAUGCCAAUGACGAAGGUAGCUUACUGGACAAAUACUGACGCUGAAGCGCGAAAGCUAGGGGAGCAAACAGGAUUAGAUACCCCCGUAGUC
This 442-nucleotide ribosomal RNA is filed under the name uncultured bacterium. RNAcentral describes it as "partial 16S ribosomal RNA". It matches the Rfam family "Bacterial small subunit ribosomal RNA", at positions 339 to 795 of the family's 1533-position model. The record is from RNAcentral.